AUUGAACGCUGGCGGCAGGCCUAACACAUGCAAGUCGAGCGGAUGAAGGGAGCUUGCUCCUGGAUUCAGCGGCGGACGGGUGAGUAAUGCCUAGGAAUCUGCCUGGCAGUGGGGGAUAACGUCCGGAAACGGGCGCUAAUACCGCAUACGUCCUGAGGGAGAAAGGGGGGGAUCUUCGGACCUCACGCUAUCAGAUGAACCUAGGUCGGAUUAGCUAGUUGGUGGGGUAAAGGCCUACCAAGGCGACGAUCCGUAACUGGUCUGAGAGGAUGAUCAGUCACACUGGAACUGAGACACGGUCCAGACUCCUACGGGAGGCAGCAGUGGGGAAUAUUGGACAAUGGGCGAAGGCCUGAUCCAGCCAUGCCGCGUGUGUGAAGAAGGUCUUCGGAUUGUAAAGCACUUUAAGUUGGGAGGAAGGGCAGUAAGUUAAUACCUUGCUGUUUUGACGUUACCAACAGAAUAAGCACCGGCUAACUUCGUG
RNAcentral lists this ribosomal RNA (484 nucleotides) under uncultured bacterium. RNAcentral describes it as "partial 16S ribosomal RNA". It matches the Rfam family "Bacterial small subunit ribosomal RNA", at positions 30 to 507 of the family's 1533-position model. The record is from RNAcentral.